Molecule: long non-coding RNA, 316 nt
Filed under: Panax ginseng (ginseng)
Lineage: Eukaryota; Viridiplantae; Streptophyta; Magnoliopsida; Apiales; Araliaceae
Description: long non-coding RNA (PGIN_LNC006963)
Source: RNAcentral
UUUUAUACAACUAUCAGUACUAUAUCAUUUUCUCCCAUUUUGCCCUAGCCCGCUCCCAGUCUCUCAGACGCGAGAUCUGAAAUCUCGAUUCCUCACUCCUCAGCGACCGGGAACGAGACUGCGAAGGGACAAAGACAGACGAAAACGACCGCUACCGCACUCCCUCUCCUAAUCCUGUGCAGAAGCGCCACAAGCGCGGCGAGAGCAGCGAGAAGGACAGGCGGCGGGAUGCCGCCGCGGUGGAUUUGAACAACAACAAAAAAACAACUACGUUUUCUUUCUCUCUUUGUGGAUCUGACAGUGAUACACACACACG